UGUUCUAAUUUUAUUAUUUUAACUCAUGUCCAUUGUCUGGAAAUCAUUAUCACACAUCUGUGACCUCUUCAGCGACACUUUUCAUUUUUGUGUGUUCUUGCUUCACUUACUCCAUUCUAUUCUUUUAAGGUGUGUAUCCUUAUGUGUGCAUGUGUCUGUGUCCUUGUGUGUGUGUGUGUAUGCUUGAGUGUGUGUCAUAUUUUUUA
Molecule: long non-coding RNA, 206 nt
Organism: Octopus sinensis (East Asian common octopus)
Lineage: Eukaryota; Metazoa; Mollusca; Cephalopoda; Octopoda; Octopodidae
Exons: 4
Source: RefSeq, a predicted model, not a curated record